GUCUACGGCCAUGCCACUCUGAACGUGCCUGAUCUUGUCUGGUCUCGGAAGCUAAGCAGGGUCAGGCCUGGUUAGUACUUGGACGAGAGACCACCUAGGAAUACCAGGUGCCGUAGGAG
This 119-nucleotide ribosomal RNA is filed under the name Pteropus alecto (black flying fox). The record is from RNAcentral. Lineage: Eukaryota; Metazoa; Chordata; Mammalia; Chiroptera; Pteropodidae.